UCCCGGUUCCGGCUGCGCGCGGGCAGAGCCCUAGAAACAACGAAAACCGCGAGCAGCGUUGCUUUCCGGACGUCGGAGUCCCGGAAGCCUCUGGGUGCGAGCCGGUCCUCCGCGUCCCUAGAUGCCCCAGAGCCGAGCUCACCGCCGGGCCGCCGGUACAGGAGCAGACUCUCCCAGUCGGCUUGCCAGCAAUCCACCCUAGACGUGACCUCGGAGGAGGAGCUGCGGGGAGAUGCUUCUCUGAACCUCAGUUUCCCCACCUGUGCAACGGGGCCAUAUGUUCCUGCGCCCCUCCCGGGGUUGAUGUGGGAUUGGCGGGGAGAGAGAACCUGGAAAAGGCCCGACGGGGCCCAGUUCUGCCCACCUUUUGGGGCCAGGUUUGCGCUGGUGGGGUUCAGCUGUCGUGCACAGACUAGAAGGGGCCCAGGUUGCUCCUAGCGAUCGCCGCUCUCCCCCCAUCUCCUCCAUCUCCCCCCGCCGCCCUCACCCCGGAACUCCCCUCUCCGCGGGCGCGCGGUGGAGGUGUGAGGGUCCUGCUUGGCGCCUAGGCGUCUCCGCUCAGCCUCUGGCCGGGAUGUUGCUCACCCUGGGCGUUUCUCUCAGGUUCCUUUGAGGCCCCGCGUGCAGAAAGCUUUUAAGGCAAAAGGCUCCUACUCUUGGGGUGGUACCACCGGACACCCCAGAUCUCGCAAAGGGUGGGUAAUGGGACUGCCCCAGGAGGGGACAGGAUUCCAGCUGAGCUCCUAGAAGGGAAUUUACCCCUCCCUACCCGCUCCAUUUGCCGCCGUAGGGGGUGGCUAGCUUGUCUGGGAGGGGCCCUGGGGCACAUGACCUUGGGUUUAAAGAACAGCCUGGGGACUUCCUUGGUGGUCCAGUGGUUAAGAGUCUGCCUAGCAAUGCAGGGGCACAGAGCCGAUCCCUGGUCAGCGAGCUAAGAUCCCACAUGCCAAGAUGCAGGGCCAAAAAAUUAAAAUUAAAGAAAAAACUAUCAGCCUUGAACUAUGAAGCUGAGCCGUAAGGGAGAGAAUUGAGGGACUGAAUGCCUUCAUUCGGGGGGGGGGGGGCAUGGCCUGCUUAAAAUGUCCAGGCUGCUCACUGCUUCUGGACAAGACCAUUGGAGGGUAAGGGGUGGGGAAUCGGGUGGCCAGGGGGGACCAAAUGGAUAGCCUCUCCCCAGGUCCCUUUUACCUGCUGCUAAACCAGUCAUUGCAGGAAGCUCUUGUGAACAAGCAAGAAAACAGAAGAGCCCAGGACCGCCCCAGGCAGGGUAAAAAAAUCCCCCCCCCCCNCCCCCCCGUGCUGCCUGACCCGAAGCUGAUGGAAUUGGUCAAGGAUUACCAUCCCCUGGGGCAGGGCCGCCUGCUUCUGCUUCAGGCACCCAAAGCCCACAACCCUGGGGCUGCAGGGAAGGAGCGGGCACUCGCGGUUCUUGGCUCCACUGCCCCUGCCAGGAACGUCUCCACCUCUGAGGCAGUGGGGCUCCCUCCACCUCCACCCUCGCACAUCCGCAGGAGGUUCCCUGAUGAAGGAAGGACCAGUGGUGGCCAGAGUGGCAAGUCAGGGGACCUCACUGAGGACUGAGGGGCUAGGGUAGCAGCCCCUCACUCACUGGAGUCCCCCCACCCCCGCUGUGGUAUUAGUGAAGUUAUUAUGAGAGUCCUGCCGGGUAGGGGGCAGCAGAGGGACUGCCUGAACAUUGCCCCCGCCACUCACACAGGACGCCCCCUGCUUCCCUUGGUGGGGAGGGAGCAGAUCAGAGGAACUUAGCUUAGUCAGAGCCAGAGGCUUCCCCAUUCUACCAGGGGCUCCCGGGCAGCCCCCUCCAGCUUCCUAGGCGUCCCAGUUGCCCACAGUGUAAUAUGGAGGUGGAAAAGUGGGUGUUGUGGGCAUAGCUGCAGGCAAGUGUGCUGCCUGGUGCCUCCUGGGAGCUCAGGUUUUUGGAGCUGGGACAGCUAGCAGCAGGGUUCCCUGCACCCUCUACCCCUCCUCUCCCCGAACCAAAGCCUGUUCCUCUGGCUCUGACCUGGAUUCAUGGAGGACUGUUCCCUUCUCCCUUGCUGGAUACAGAGGGCCAGUCAGACCAGAACGAAGGACGGGGCUCCUGGGAGCCUGGGUUCCCCUCCCCCUGUGGCUCUUCAUGGGUUCCCAGAGUCAGGCCCACCCUGCCUUCAGCGCCUCUCACAGGUCACCAUGUGCCUGCUGAGAGGCCGAGGCUCUCAGACCAUGUGCAGACUGCAUUUAUUCAUUCAGUCAUUGACUUAUGGCCAGAAGCCGUGGUAAGGCUGGGGCUCCUGAACUUACAGCAACACGGUGCUGAGCUGAAGUGAAGGCUGUUUGUUGCCGCACACCUGCAGCUUCCAGAGCAUCUUACUCUGCCCUCCCCCUGCUCCCCCAGGGUCCCAGUGCCUGGGACUGUGCUUGGAGCUCAGUGAAUGAAAGAAUGAAUGAAGAGGGCUGAGUGAGUUGAAAGUGACCCUGGGAUCCCCGAAGGCUGAUCUCAGCCCUAGAAAUGGGGGAGGGGAGGUCCAGGUGACCUUCCAGGCCGUGGCCAUGGGGCCACAACCCUGUGCUGAGCAUCCUUUCCCUGCCCUACACCCAGUAGCCUGUGCCAAGUGACAGGGACGCAGCAGUGAGCAAACCACCCAAGUGCCCUGAUGUGCAGCACAUGAUUUGGAAAAGGGAAGACCACUUGCUCAGGGGUGAGUGAGUGGGUGGUGUCAGCCGGGUGCUGGGGACAGCGGACACUGGCAGAAAGAGCAUCCUCUGGAGACAUGUGGUCUGUCCCUCAGUUCCCUGGCCUGGAGUAUGGAGCCUAGGGGGUACUGGGGCUCCAGAGCCAGGCAGGGUGCUGGCAGCUGCCCCAGUCACUCCCACUCUUGUGCUCCGUCCCAGUGCUUAUGGCCCUAAUGCCACACCGUGGAACCCCAGUGAGGAGACACUGGUGCUCAGAGGAGCAAGGACUUUCCUGGGAGGGAGGGCAGUGGGAGUCACCUGGCUGACACAGAGCCCUGCUCCAGGUGACCCAUGAAGGAUGUCUGCAGAGGGAGGGGUUUCCAUCUGGGACCUUUCCUGGUUUCAUGCCCUGCCAGAAUUGUGAGCUCCAAAGGGAGAUCCUGACGAUGACCGAGAUGUUUAUUUGCCUGUGUCCAGAAAGGCUUGGCCGCAAGAGUUUGUAUUUCCUCAGAGUCUAGCUGUUGCUGGAGAGUCAGGACCCCUCUCAGUGUGGACAUCCCAGGGCCAUUCUGGGGCACAGACCAGUGGCUUUGGGGGCCUGGUUUGGAGCCAAUAUUUCAAGCAAGUCAGGCUUAGAAUCUGGGCUUCUGGGAAGAAAUUUCCAAUCAUGAAAUGUGUCAUUUGAAAAAAUAUAUGUGUCAGUUAAGUGUGCACUGAGCCUGGACCACAUGGGAUAGGGCUGUUCUAAUAAACACGAAUAAGCCCGUUUUCACAUUAGAGAAAUAACAGUUUCAAGUAGAAAUGUGGUGCUUUUAAAAGAGGUUAAUUAAUAAACAGCAGGUAAUUGUUCAUGGCACAUGGUGGCAGAGGGUAAUUUUCAUUUUAGAGGAGAGAAGGGCCAAAUGCCCCCCCAACUCAGAUUUUUUGUGUAAUAAUCACCUUGGCUUCACCUCCGCCUUUAAUUUUUACAGCUGGAGCUGUUUAUCAUCGCUCCAACUUUCACUAAAAAGGAAAAACUAUCACUUAAACAAAGCCAUUGAAAACUCAGCAUCAUAUGUGGAUUUCUUAACAUAAAUAAAUCAUACAAACCAAGAUUUAUGUUCUCCCAAUGAUGUCAUUCGCUGAAGGCUGCCUUCCCAAUCAAAUCAGUGGUUAGUGACUCUCCUUUUGUGUGUGUGCUUUUUGCAAAAUAAGAAAAGCAGCACUGGCAUCCUGGCUGCUCCCUUUCUCUGCUCCGCCCAGGACAUCAGAAAGGUCUCUCCCUGCAACAGCACAACUGGGUCUAAACGGUGAGCACAGAUUCAGCGCCACAGAUGGCAUUUCAAGCCUUUGUUUUUGAAACGCAAGUUCUAAGUUGAAAGACUGUUAAGGCUUCCUGAAGGAUUUGCUCAGACCCCAGCAGAAGCUGGGGAGCCUGGGGGUCUCUCAGAGCCUAGGGUGAGUUUGGUUGCAGGGUCAUCACAUUGAAAUGAGCGAGGACCGCGACAGUCACCUGUGAUGGGGAGAUGAGAUGUGGUCGCUCCGUAUAGUGGAGGAAUGUCAGUCACAGCAAAGAACGAAGCCCUGAUGUGGACCACAGUGUGCACAAAGUCAGCAAAUGAAGCGAAUCAGAGCAGGUCACAUACCAUUCCAUUCCACCUACGUGACAUGUCCAGGAUGGGCAAAUCCACAGAGACAGAAAAGAAACAAGUGGUUGCCAGGGUAGGGGAGAGGACGUGGUGGGUGACUGCUUCCUCGGCACAGGAUUUCCUUCUGGGAAGAUGAAAAUGUUCUGGAAACAGACGCCCACUUUAUUUAUUUACUAAAGUCUUCCUUGUUUGUUUGUUUUUAUUGGCUGCACCGGGUCUUAGUUGCAGCACAUAGGAUCUUCAUUGCAGUAUGCAGGAUCUUUAGUUGCAGCAUGCAAAGUCUUUGUUGCAGCAUAUAGGAUCUAGGGGUCAAAUCCGGGUCCUCUGUGUUGGGAGAGCAGAGUCUUAGCCACUGGACCACCAGGGACAUCCCAGACAGCCCACUUAAAAAUGGAGACUGUCAUACUAUGUUAAUUGUAUCUCAAUAAAUCUGUUAUUUAAAAAUCA
Odocoileus virginianus texanus is the source of this 4748-nucleotide non-coding RNA. NCBI's taxonomy places the organism in Eukaryota, Metazoa, Chordata, Mammalia, Artiodactyla, Cervidae. The record is from RefSeq and is a predicted model, not a curated record.